AGUGUGUCGGUUAACCACACAGCUCCACUAGCGACUUUGAGAAUGCAAAUAUCACAAUUGCUAUCUACUUCAAAUCUACUUGGUGGAAGUAUUUCCUCACCAUCAUUUUCAUGAAUCGGAGAGAAACCUUAUGACCCUUAGAUUUUAUGGUAUAUGUGUUCCUUUCCAUGUGAAUUUUUUCUCAAAACAAUAGUCACAAGACAAUAUUAGUGACAAUUCCAAAUUCAUAUGGACUGAACUUGUGCAAUCUUAAAUUCUUGCCACCUGCCAGCUCAAGGGCCUACCAUUGCUUCCAAGUUGUUAUGCAACCAAUUGAAAACUCUAAGAACAUAUAUGCAAAGCCAACUUUAACUAGAAUGGGCACAUAAAUAAAGUAUGUCAACAUGAUAUGUUAUAAACCUCACGUCGUGUGCUAGUUAAGAACUUCAUGUUUUAUUCUUGAUUAGUUCUUGAGACUUUCAAGACCUUUAAGGCUCCCACUGUCCUCUUGACAUAUAAGACUCUCUUGUCAGAUAUUCAAGAGAUAAUGUGGAUUCUAAUCAAGACAGACACUUCNUGGCCUUAGUUGGUCUUUGUCUUAUCCAAAACAUUACAACUUACCAAUUUCAAAUGUACAAGAGUAGAAAACUUUUACUCUUACAUUUGACAAGUGUUUUAAACCUUCUUUAAGACAUGUCACUCUAGUUACAAUCUUAGAGUAUAACUCUAAGAAUUGUUUUGGAAUGAAGUAUGACUCAUCUUCUUGAUUUGACCACUUCAACAAUUCAUAACUCCUCUUCUUAGCUAUCAGAAUGCACUUAGAGGAUGAAUUGUGAUAAGAUCUCUUAAUCCUUAAGAUGAUCAUCAUGAUACUAAAGUACUCUCCCAUCUUUUCAUAUUUGAGAAAAUUUUAUCUUUCUACUGAAGUUGAUUCUUCUUAUUCACUCUGUCAUACAUUGGAACCUUUUUCAAUGUCUCAGAAUUACACUUAAGCUUGUAAGUAUAACCAUAUUUACUGAGCUAUAGUAAAUUAUGAUAAAUAGUCUUAUCGAUAUUUUGUGGUGGACUUAACCAGUGCACAAGAAUGUGUACUCGAUCCCUUAGUCCUUUACUUGACUCACGCAUCCAUGUGAACAAGUAAUUAGUCUUAAUUUUUCUAAUGCUUGAAAGUUCUCAUUCAUCAUGCUAUACAACUUGCAUGAUUCCAAGUCUCGGCUCAAUUGAAACCUUGGGUGACGAGAAUCUUUCCUUAUUUGGUAAAUUUAGACAUUACCACAAAUGAAAGAAUCAAAUUCAUAUUUCCACUCUUGCUCUUAAUUGAAUCCUAUAAGCAACAAAAAUUUUCACAAAUGCCAUUGUAAGGAUAUAUUAAAAUAAAUAAAAUCAAAAAUUUUUUCUUUUAUUUUAAAAACUUUGCGGAAAAACUAUCCUUACAAUGCAAAAGCACAUGGAAACUUUGUUGUUAUCUAUUCCUAAGCAAUAUAUCAUAACUCCUAAUAAGUAGCUCAAGAAUCCGAUCUUCAAACUAUGCGAUAGAAAUCCAUCUUCGCGAUCAGAUUCAACAUAUUCUUUCUUUAAGUUUCUUCAUGUUUUUUUGAUUCUUAAAACAUCAACAUGUGACCCAGUCACAUCAUGUAUCAAGAAUCUCAUAAUAGAAACUUAGCAGAGUUAGAUAGUGGACUUUACCUGAAGUAGAGUCAAAGUUAUUGACUUUAACAUCCUUAGGUAAGAUUGGCAGCUUCGCAACUUAUGCCCCUUCCUUUGGCAAUAUAAACAUAUUGUGGUAAUGGUUCACGAGACUAUCACAGAGUUAGUUUUUCUCUUUACCAUUUGGUCAACCGAGUUGACUAUAGCCGAUCCCUUUCCAUUGGGAAAAGAGAGCGUUAUUGGAUAUCCAAUGUCAUUAUUGUCAAUGUCCAUAAAGUUUUAGGAAGUUGAACUUAGCAAAUAGAUAAGAUCAUUAAGGGUCUUGUCAUAGUCUGUUUCAUAGGAGUCCCAAAGGAACUCACUAUGUGACUUAGAAAUUACUUGAGCCACCAACUUUCUCAAGACUUUGACACCCAACUCUCCCGGCUUGUCAAUAUCUGACUACAUCUCCAAGACGUGAUCACACAUAGGGCUUUGCUUGCCAAUAGGGCUUGAGUGACCUUAAACUUUUCAAGAACUUGUGGGUUAGGGAGAAUAAUUGGAGGAGGUGAAAGAAGUAUGAUUUCCAUGGGACAUCAUCUUCAUUUAGGAAACCUUGUUUCAAGAGAUUUGGGAAGAUCAUAAAUGUCUAAACCAGACAUCUUUUGGGAGAUAUUCAAGAUAGUUGAUUUAAAGUCCCUAAUAUAACACCCAAUGUGAAAUAUUAAGGCUAGGACCCAACACAAUACUUUUAUAACUUGGAAGAGGGAUGUGGUAAUCCAAGCUAUAAAAUAUUUGAAGGUAGGUGAAUGACGAUUCACCAAUUUCCACCAAGAUAAAACGAAAUGUAUUAUUAGGUUUUAAUUGGUUUCAAAACUCCUAGAUUCUUUUGAGAUUCAUUGAACUUUUCAAUGGCAUGUUUCAAUCUCGAGUGUGCCUUUCAGGUUUUGUGAUUGGGAUGCCGAGGAUCACAAAACAAGGUGUGAAGUAACCAUGCAAAUUACUUGGUACCCUUAAGUGUUUACCCCUCAAUCGAUGUGCCGGUUAACCACACACGCUCCAUCGAUACUAUGAUAAACAUUAAGUUACCCUUUGCCUACCUUGUUAAAUACGAGUUAGUGUGCCGGUUAACCACACACGCUCCACUAACCAACUUAAACAAAGUGCAAAGUGUAAUUUCAUGGAUUAGCACCUUAUUCACAUUUUCCUAAGUAACUAAGAUUGGGUAUUAUUAAGAGUUUAGUUACUUAGUAUUUAUCAUUAAUACUUUUAAUGAAGGGAGAAUUAUAGUCCUGUCAAACCCGUUCGGCUAACGACCCUCCACCAGUCAAGCAAGCGGUGGGUGAGAGUGGACACCCAUUAAGUUGCCAUUUUAUAGGCAACAACCUUAUACCCACCUUAUAGACCGGCUUCGUGAAUGAGGCGUACUAGCGGUAAGACUGACUUUACUCUUAUACAUAUAUAUAUUAUUAACUUAUAAUAUUAUAAAGUAUAAGGGUUGAAUUUUAACUUUUAAAAUUCUAAGGGCUAACUUGGAAUUAAAGUAUUCAUAAGUGAAAACUUUUCAAAUUCCAAAACUUGAGGGCAAGUUUUGAAACUAUUCAAAACUAAUUAAUUCCAUAACUUAUGUGUUUAAAGUAGUUUUAAUCUAAAAACUCUUCAAGUUCCAUAACUUGAGGACAAGUUAUGGAAGACUUUAAACUAAUAAAAAAUGUAACUUUUCUUUAUUCUGUAACGACUUAUGGAAUUAAUUAAGGUUACACAUUUUAUUACUUAAUGAAGUGACUCUUGAACCUCCAUAACUUGAGGACAAGACUCUUCAUUUUUUAACCAUUGCCAACUUUUAUGAGUUCUAUGAAACUUAAAUGUGAAUUUUCAUAUAACUUGAGGACAAGUUACAAAAACACAUUUUAGAAUCAACUCUUAGAUUAAAAUGGAUUGAAAACACAUAAUCAAUUAACUUUUCUAUUAAUCUAAGCAACUCAUAAGAACAAGAUAAUUCAAAUCAAACUUUUUCAUGUAAUUAGCCUAAUCACUAAACUAAUACAAAACAUGAAUCUAUUGACAAUUAUCUUUGAAAUUGGAUUAGCAUGAACAUUACCACAUCAAACACAAGUUUAUAGUACAAAAACAUCUUAGGGUAAUGUUCCUAGUCCAUUUCUAGCCAAAACAGUCGAAUAUAUGCUAUCUGGGGGUCCAACCCGGCGAGUUGGAUGCUUCUUGCCUUGGACUCGUCGAGUCCAUCAGUGGACUCGGCGAUUCUAUUGUGCAGACAGCACCAAAAUUCAAAUUUUCAGCUAAUUUUGCAAGUAUAACAAGAAAACAAGUCUAGGCUCUGAUACCACUGUUGGGUUUUGAGCAUUCUAACACUCCUAAGUGUACAUGCAACCCUAAAUACAUUGGAUCUAAGUUUUCUCUAUUAUACAUGCAAAUAUGAACUUUCCAAGGUAUUCAUCCUAACUAGCAUAAUAACAUUGAUUCAUAUGAAUAUCUCAAGUUAGAAUUACAUUCCUCAUUGAUGUAGAAUGUCUUCAUGAAGCUUGAGUGCCUAGUGCCCCAAGUGUGACACCUCAAAUGGUUCACACAACACCAAAUACAUUUGGAAUAGAUUAGAGAGAAACCCACACUUCAUAAAAAUCGGCUAGCCCUUUCACAUAUAAUCUAGUGACCGAUUUUGUCAACAAUAAGAUCUUUAUAUAGUGUCAUAAUUAGGGUAAACCCUAAUUGUCAUGGCUUUCCAUUUCCUUGGAUCCAUGGGUUCAAAUACACCAUGGAGCAUCUUAGGGUUUUAGCCCAACUUGAUAAUCC
RNAcentral lists this long non-coding RNA (4413 nucleotides) under Lactuca sativa (garden lettuce). RNAcentral's name for it is "long non-coding RNA (LSAT_LNC006873)". Lineage: Eukaryota; Viridiplantae; Streptophyta; Magnoliopsida; Asterales; Asteraceae. The record is from RNAcentral.